CGAGAUGUUUACGUAUAACGAAAAUUUGCAUAUAUCUUUGCGGAAUAAUGGCGAAUUUUAAGAAAAUGUAAACUUUCAACUCCAUUUUUUUAAAAACACAUCAUCGUAUUAAAGAUUAAUUUAAAAUGAAAUUUAAAAGAAAUGAUACUUCCAGUUUAAGCAAUAUUCAAGGAAAAUACAGAUAAAGAUACAAAUAGAUAGCCGUGUAUAACCCUUCCUAUACAAGCUAACAUUGCAGAAAAUAUUUUUGAUGUUUGUUGGUGGUUCCUUUCGUCCCUUGCAAUUUGUUAACCUACAGAUGAAUGAAUC
Molecule: long non-coding RNA, 309 nt
Organism: Centruroides sculpturatus (bark scorpion)
Lineage: Eukaryota; Metazoa; Arthropoda; Arachnida; Scorpiones; Buthidae
Exons: 3
Source: RefSeq, a predicted model, not a curated record